Molecule: long non-coding RNA, 225 nt
Organism: Archocentrus centrarchus (flier cichlid)
Lineage: Eukaryota; Metazoa; Chordata; Actinopteri; Cichliformes; Cichlidae
Exons: 3
Source: RefSeq, a predicted model, not a curated record
CUUAAUUUGGGAAACACAGUUUAUGUGAUGAACCACUACACAAGCGGCGUGAUCCUCUUUGGCAAGAGAGAAAUGAUCCGGAGACACAGUUUGUCAAAGGUAAACUUUGACAACUACAAAGCGAUCGUGUCAUUUGUAAAUAUCGGAAACAUACACUGGAAGUUUCUGUACAUCAAUGCAGCAGACAGUUGUCUGUAUUUGGUGGAUCCAACAAAAAAUUCAGCC